Molecule: ribosomal RNA, 256 nt
Filed under: uncultured bacterium
Lineage: Bacteria
Description: partial 16S ribosomal RNA
Rfam family: Bacterial small subunit ribosomal RNA
Source: RNAcentral
UACAGAGGGUGCGAGCGUUUAAUCGGAAUUACUGGGCGUAAAGCGUGCGUAGACGGUUCUGUAAGUCGGAUGUGAAAUCCCCGGGCUCAACCUGGGAACUGCAUUUGUGACUGCAUCGCUGGAGUGCGGCAGAGGGGGAUGGAAUUCCGCGUGUAGCAGUGAAAUGCGUAGAUAUCGGGAGGAAUACCUAUGGCGAAAGCAGGCUUCUGGGCUAAUCACUGACGCUGAUCUGCGAAAGCUAGGGGAGCAAACAGGA